This 458-nucleotide ribosomal RNA is filed under the name uncultured bacterium. Its description in RNAcentral is "bacterial SSU rRNA". It matches the Rfam family "Bacterial small subunit ribosomal RNA", at positions 339 to 786 of the family's 1533-position model. The record is from RNAcentral.
UAACGGAAGGCAGCAGUGGGGAAUAUUGCACAAUGGGCGAAAGCCUGAUGCAGCUAUGCCGCGUGUAUGAAGAAGGCCUUAGGGUUGUAAAGUACUUUCAUCGGGGAGGAAAAAACAAAACUAAUAAUUUUAUUUCUUGACGUUACCCGAAAAAGAAGCACCGGCUAACUCCGUGCCAGCAGCCGCGGUAAUACGGAGGGUGCUAGCGUUAAUCAGAAUUACUGGGCGUAAAGAGCACGUAGGUGGUUUUUUUAAAGUCAGAUGUGAAAUCCCUGGGCUUAACCUAGGAACUGCAUUUUGAAACUGAAAUACUAGAGUAUCGUAGAGGGAGGUAGAAUUCUAGGUGUAGCGGUGAAAUGCGUAGAUAUCUGGAGGAAUACCUGUGGCGAAAGCGGCCUCCUAAACGAAUACUGACACUGAGGUGCGAAAGCGUGGGGAGCAAACAGGGAUUAGAUACC